Molecule: ribosomal RNA, 363 nt
Filed under: Pseudomonas sp.
Lineage: Bacteria; Pseudomonadati; Pseudomonadota; Gammaproteobacteria; Pseudomonadales; Pseudomonadaceae
Description: bacterial SSU rRNA
Rfam family: Bacterial small subunit ribosomal RNA
Source: RNAcentral
GACCUAGCGGCGGACGGGUGAGUAAUGCUUAGGAAUCUGCCUAUUAGUGGGGGACAACAUCUCGAAAGGGAUGCUAAUACCGCAUACGUCCUACGGGAGAAAGCAGGGGAUCUUCGGACCUUGCGCUAAUAGAUGAGCCUAAGUCGGAUUAGCUAGUUGGUGGGGUAAAGGCCUACCAAGGCGACGAUCUGUAGCGGGUCUGAGAGGAUGAUCCGCCACACUGGGACUGAGACACGGCCCAGACUCCUACGGGAGGCAGCAGUGGGGAAUAUUGGACAAUGGGGGGAACCCUGAUCCAGCCAUGCCGCGUGUGUGAAGAAGGCCUUUUGGUUGUAAAGCACUUUAAGCGAGGAGGAGGCUACU